This 858-nucleotide ribosomal RNA is filed under the name Psychrobacter sp. f22. RNAcentral describes it as "bacterial SSU rRNA". It matches the Rfam family "Bacterial small subunit ribosomal RNA", at positions 559 to 1416 of the family's 1533-position model. The record is from RNAcentral. Lineage: Bacteria; Pseudomonadati; Pseudomonadota; Gammaproteobacteria; Moraxellales; Moraxellaceae.
CGUAAAGGGAGCGUAGGUGGCUCUAUAAGUCAGAUGUGAAAUCCCCGGGCUUAACCUGGGAACUGCAUCUGAAACUGUAGAGCUAGAGUAUGUGAGAGGAAGGUAGAAUUCCAGGUGUAGCGGUGAAAUGCGUAGAGAUCUGGAGGAAUACCGAUGGCGAAGGCAGCCUUCUGGCAUAAUACUGACACUGAGGCUCGAAAGCGUGGGUAGCAAACAGGAUUAGAUACCCUGGUAGUCCACGCCGUAAACGAUGUCUACUAGUCGUUGGGUCCCUUGAGGACUUAGUGACGCAGCUAACGCAAUAAGUAGACCGCCUGGGGAGUACGGCCGCAAGGUUAAAACUCAAAUGAAUUGACGGGGGCCCGCACAAGCGGUGGAGCAUGUGGUUUAAUUCGAUGCAACGCGAAGAACCUUACCUGGUCUUGACAUAUCUAGAAUCCUGCAGAGAUGCGGGAGUGCCUUCGGGAAUUAGAAUACAGGUGCUGCAUGGCUGUCGUCAGCUCGUGUCGUGAGAUGUUGGGUUAAGUCCCGCAACGAGCGCAACCCUUGUCCUUAGUUACCAGCGGGUUAAGCCGGGAACUCUAAGGAUACUGCCAGUGACAAACUGGAGGAAGGCGGGGACGACGUCAAGUCAUCAUGGCCCUUACGACCAGGGCUACACACGUGCUACAAUGGUAGGUACAGAGGGCAGCUACACAGCGAUGUGAUGCGAAUCUCAAAAAGCCUAUCGUAGUCCAGAUUGGAGUCUGCAACUCGACUCCAUGAAGUAGGAAUCGCUAGUAAUCGCGGAUCAGAAUGCCGCGGUGAAUACGUUCCCGGGCCUUGUACACACCGCCCGUCACACCAUGGGAGUUGAUU